This 465-nucleotide ribosomal RNA is filed under the name Vreelandella stevensii. RNAcentral describes it as "partial 16S ribosomal RNA". It matches the Rfam family "Bacterial small subunit ribosomal RNA", at positions 338 to 795 of the family's 1533-position model. Lineage: Bacteria; Pseudomonadati; Pseudomonadota; Gammaproteobacteria; Oceanospirillales; Halomonadaceae. The record is from RNAcentral.
CCUACGGGAGGCUGCAGUGGGGAAUAUUGGACAAUGGGGGCAACCCUGAUCCAGCCAUGCCGCGUGUGUGAAGAAGGCCCUCGGGUUGUAAAGCACUUUCAGUGAGGAAGAACGCCUGGUGGUUAAUACCCAUCAGGAAAGACAUCACUCACAGAAGAAGCACCGGCUAACUCCGUGCCAGCAGCCGCGGUAAUACGGAGGGUGCGAGCGUUAAUCGGAAUUACUGGGCGUAAAGCGCGCGUAGGUGGCUUGAUAAGCCGGUUGUGAAAGCCCCGGGCUCAACCUGGGAACGGCAUCCGGAACUGUCAAGCUAGAGUGCAGGAGAGGAAGGUAGAAUUCCCGGUGUAGCGGUGAAAUGCGUAGAGAUCGGGAGGAAUACCAGUGGCGAAGGCGGCCUUCUGGACUGACACUGCCACUGAGGUGCGAAAGCGUGGGUAGCAAACAGGAUUAGAUACCCUAGUAGUC